This 800-nucleotide ribosomal RNA is filed under the name uncultured bacterium. Its description in RNAcentral is "bacterial SSU rRNA". It matches the Rfam family "Bacterial small subunit ribosomal RNA", at positions 8 to 802 of the family's 1533-position model. The record is from RNAcentral.
AGAGUUUGAUCCUGGCUCAGAACGAACGCUGGCGGCGUGUUUAAGACAUGCAAGUCGAACGGAGUGAAGUUGUAGUAAUACCGCUUCAUUCAGUGGCGCACGGGUGCGUAACACGUGAGUUACAUGCCCUGCAGUGGGGAAUAGCCCGCCGAAAGGCGGAUUAAUACUCCAUGGUCCCGCAAGGGUAAAGGUGGCCGCAAGGCUGCCGCUGCAGGAUUGGCUCGCGGCCUAUCAGCUUGUUGGUGAGGUAACGGCUCACCAAGGCGACGACGGGUACCUGGUCUGAGAGGAUGAUCAGGCACACUGGAACUGAGACACGGUCCAGACACCUACGGGUGGCAGCAGUCGAGAAUGAUUCACAAUGGGGGAAACCCUGAUGGUGCAACGCCGCGUGGAGGAUGAAGGUCUUCGGAUUGUAAACUCCUGUCAUCGGGGAGUAAGACCUGGAGGUGAAUAGCCUACAGGGUUGAUAGUACCCGAAGAGGAAGGGACGGCUAACUUCGUGCCAGCAGCCGCGGUAAUACGAAGGUCCCAAGCGUUGUUCGGAAUCACUGGGCGUAAAGGGAGCGUAGGCGGCGUGGUAAGUCAGAUGUGAAAUCCCGGGGCUCAACCCCGGAACUGCAUCCGAUACUGCCGUGCUUGAGGGUUGGAGAGGUAGCUGGAAUUCUCGGUGUAGCAGUGAAAUGCGUGGAUAUCGAGAGGAACACUCGUGGCGAAGGCGAGCUACUGGACAACAUCUGACGCUGAGGCUCGAAGGCUAGGGGAGCAAAAGGGAUUAGAUACCCCUGUAGUCCUAGCAG